ACAUACGGAUAAAAUGCGUAUAUAAGUGAAUAAAACCUUAUAUACUGAUAUUAUGUACCGAUUUUAAAAAAAUUAAUAAUUCAAAAUUUAAAAAAAAAAAAUCUCCUAACCUAACGCUCUCUCGAAAUCACAUUUUCCCCCUCUCUCGAAAAUACUCACAUUUUUACCUCUUCUUAGACUUUCGUUCCCUCUCGCGAAUUCAUCUUCGUCUCUCACUGAAUCACUUCGUCAUCUUCCUCCUUCAAUCUCUCUCUCAGGUCACUUCUUCAUCUUCUUGAUUAAUUCUCGUGCUGCACUCGCACUCCCUCCCUCUCGCUCAGCCACACAUCAGAUCUUAUUGGGUCCUCAAGCGCAAACCUUUCUUCUAGGGUUCCUGAGCCAAACCAUGGAAGGGAGAGUGCAAAAGAAGAAGAGACAGUUCAGAGAGUGGCUCGUUGCUAAUGUCAAGACGAAAACCCUAUUCGAGCUCCAAACAAGUUGCCUCUCUUCCCCCUCACCCGUAACUGCCUCCCCUCACUCUCGCUCACUCUCACUCUACAACUACAAUAUGCUUUCAAUUUUCUUUUUCCUUCCAGUGCCCUAACCUGCCAUGGGUGUUGGAUUAGAGCUCCAUGGUUUUAGUUUUUGUUCUUCCUUAUAGUGCCCUAAUCUGCAAUGGGUGAUCGAAGCUUCAGGAAGAGCAACACUUUUGUUUGUAGCCAUGUCCAACUCUUAUUCUCACAAGCGGACCAAAGAAGAAAAAGAAGCAGGUUCAUUACGUAUGUCUAGUCAUGGGUUUUAUUAAGCUUGGUCGUUUAUAUCAACAAAUUAUCCUUUUGUUAUUGAUUUCAUUAAAUUUAUUUUAUUUUAUGUCAACUUUUGCUUCACUAAAUCAACUCACAACCUACUUCAUCUGCUCAUAAUAUCAGUAGUUCACUUAAUUAUUUAUGCCCAUUGUUGGUAUGUAGUGCUAAUUCAUUUCUACAUGCAUGUUUCAGUGAUUGCAUAUUUGUUGAAUGUCGCAUUUUCAAUUUACACACCUGUACAUUAUUGCAGUGUUGAUAAUUUUUUCUUAAUUUUAAAUAA
Molecule: long non-coding RNA, 1065 nt
Organism: Vigna radiata var. radiata (mung bean)
Lineage: Eukaryota; Viridiplantae; Streptophyta; Magnoliopsida; Fabales; Fabaceae
Exons: 3
Source: RefSeq, a predicted model, not a curated record